UACAGGUAUUUAAAAAAAUAACUGAACCAUUUUCAAGUCUUUCAGGCCUUCAUAGCACAACAUUUACCAAGUGCAGAAUCGAUGCAACAUAACAGAUAAACAUCACCAAUGGCAAUCGGUAAAUGUAUUAUAAAUUUGCCGAUAGGCG
Alosa sapidissima (American shad) is the source of this 148-nucleotide long non-coding RNA. RefSeq lists it as uncharacterized. The record is from RefSeq and is a predicted model, not a curated record. Lineage: Eukaryota; Metazoa; Chordata; Actinopteri; Clupeiformes; Clupeidae. The transcript has 3 exons.